CCAAACAAGAAAUGAAUUUUCAUAUAUGGUUUCGACCCAUAAUUAGGUAUAAAAUUACCCUUGUU
RNAcentral lists this transfer RNA (65 nucleotides) under Hapalochlaena fasciata. RNAcentral's name for it is "tRNA-Arg". The record is from RNAcentral. Lineage: Eukaryota; Metazoa; Mollusca; Cephalopoda; Octopoda; Octopodidae.